GUGCUUGUUUUGCCAGUACACAUACUAAAAUUGGAAUGACGCAGAAAUUAACAUGGCCCCUUUACAAGAACAAUACACAAAUUUAUGAAGCAUUCCAUAUUUUA
RNAcentral lists this small nuclear RNA (104 nucleotides) under Carlito syrichta (Philippine tarsier). Lineage: Eukaryota; Metazoa; Chordata; Mammalia; Primates; Tarsiidae. The record is from RNAcentral.